Long non-coding RNA from Callithrix jacchus (white-tufted-ear marmoset), 724 nucleotides. RefSeq lists it as uncharacterized. Lineage: Eukaryota; Metazoa; Chordata; Mammalia; Primates; Cebidae. The record is from RefSeq and is a predicted model, not a curated record.
GUUUCUUACCGAUGGGACAGGACUUCUGUAGUCACAGGCUUCACCACACCAGCCUGCUUUUCACAUUUGUGUAACUCCCUGGUUUCUGCAACCGUUUUAUUGCCAACUGCUGAAAGGCCAUUCCACUUACAUUUUUCAUUAAGGAGCUACCUCAGAAACCCUGGAUUUAGAGCACAAAUCCUAGCUGCAAGUGCCACUUCAUUCAGAGUGAUUUUUGAGAAAGACAUAUGUACAAAAGAAGAGAGUAGACAGAGGUGAAAAGAACAGGAUAUCUGGGACCUGCAUGUAAUAACACCAACUGAUUUUAAGCAAGAUUUGAGGUAAAAUCGAAUUGGUCUUUGGAAAGCUGAGACAUCAGGAGUGCAAGAGCAGCUUGAGCAACAUGGUGGAAUCCCAUCUCUACUAAAAAUACCGAAAUUAGCCCAGCAUAGAGGCAUGUGCUUGUAGUCCCAGUUACUUGGGAGGCUGAGAUGGGAGGAUAGCUUGAGCCUGGAAGGUCAAGGCUUCAUCAAGCCUGCAAUGAGUCAUGAUCUGACUACUGCACUCCAGCCUGGGGAACAGAGUGAGACCCUACCGCAAAAUGAAAACAAACAAACAACAACAAAAACAAAAACAGAGAAAAGAAAAGAAGAAAAAAAAUCUAAUUUGAUAUUGAAUGGAAAGUUGGUGUGUAAGCAAAAAGGAACAGAAGCCGUCAGUAAAGCAGGGCAUAAAUGUGCUCUUA